GAUGAACGCUGGCGGCGUGCCUAAUACAUGCAAGUCGAGCGAACAGAUGAGGAGCCUGCUCCUCUGACGUUAGCGGCGGACGGGUGAGUAACACGUGGAUAACCUACCUAUAAGACUGGGAUAACUUCGGGAAACCGGAGCUAAUACCGGAUAAUAUAUUGAACCGCAUGGUUCAAUAGUGAAAGACGGUUUUGCUGUCACUUAUAGAUGGAUCCGCGCCGCAUUAGCUAGUUGGUAAGGUAACGGCUUACCAAGGCAACGAUGCGUAGCCGACCUGAGAGGGUGGUCGGCCACACUGGAACUGAGACACGGUCCAGACUCCUACGGGAGGCAGCAGUAGGGGAUCUUCCGCAAUGGGCGAAAGCCUGACGGAGCAACGCCGCGUGAGUGAUGAAGGUCUUCGGAUCGUAAAACUCUGUUAUUAGGGAAGAACAAAUGUGUAAGUAACUAUGCACGUCUUGACGGUACCGAAUCAGAAAGCCACGGCUAACUACGUG
RNAcentral lists this ribosomal RNA (497 nucleotides) under uncultured bacterium. RNAcentral describes it as "partial 16S ribosomal RNA". It matches the Rfam family "Bacterial small subunit ribosomal RNA", at positions 28 to 507 of the family's 1533-position model. The record is from RNAcentral.